CCUACGGGAGGCAGCAGUGAGGAAUAUUGGUCAAUGGACGAGAGUCUGAACCAGCCAAGUAGCGUGAAGGAUGACUGCCCUAUGGGUUGUAAACUUCUUUUAUCUGGGAAUAAAAUGUUCCACGUGUGGGAUUUUGUAUGUACCAUAUGAAUAAGGAUCGGCUAACUCCGUGCCAGCAGCCGCGGUAAUACGGAGGAUCCUAGCGUUAUCCGGAUUUAUUGGGUUUAAAGGGAGCGUAGGUGGAUUGUUAAGUCAGUUGUGAAAGUUUGCGGCUCAAACGUAAAAUUGCAGUUGAAACUGGCAGUCUUGAGUACAGUAGAGGUGGGCGGAAUUCGUGGUGGAGCGGUGAAAUGCUUAGAUAUCACGAAGAACUCCGAUUGCGAAGGCAGUUCACUGGACUGCAACUGACACUGAGGCUCGAAAGUGUGGGUAUCAAACAGGAUUAGAUACCCUAGUAGUC
Molecule: ribosomal RNA, 460 nt
Filed under: uncultured bacterium
Lineage: Bacteria
Description: partial 16S ribosomal RNA
Rfam family: Bacterial small subunit ribosomal RNA
Source: RNAcentral